AAGGUGAAAGAAGGCGGAGGAGAAACCAGACGGAGAAGGAGAAGAAGCGAAAUAGGAGAGCAAGGAGAACUUAUACGACGUCGUUCAGCAUCUCAUCUUCGAACCUUCUAAGAUCAAGGCCACCUUCGUGCCUCCCCGAAGCUUCUAGAAACUACUCUCGCCAUUUCUGUAAUCUUCCAACUUUUCUUUUUCUUUUGUCACUU
This 203-nucleotide long non-coding RNA is filed under the name Vigna radiata. Its description in RNAcentral is "long non-coding RNA (VRAD_LNC002829)". The record is from RNAcentral. Lineage: Eukaryota; Viridiplantae; Streptophyta; Magnoliopsida; Fabales; Fabaceae.